Molecule: long non-coding RNA, 996 nt
Organism: Oryzias melastigma (Indian medaka)
Lineage: Eukaryota; Metazoa; Chordata; Actinopteri; Beloniformes; Adrianichthyidae
Exons: 3
Source: RefSeq, a predicted model, not a curated record
CAGAGACACGGACGCGUUCAAACCUUCCCAAACCUCAACUAAAGGGUCUGCAGCAGCUGUGGAGGCAUGCGCCCUGUUCCGGCCUAACGCGCAGCUGUGCGCUCACGUUUGGAUACAUCAGCGUCUCCUCCGCAGGAUUUCCGCGACGAUGAAGGAACAAACAGGACCUCCUGGUAGAACGAAAGGCUUUUCAGCAGAUUAUGUCUGCUGAGGGACAGACUACAUCCUGGAUGGGUCAUAAAUCCAUCAAAGGAUUUUUGUCAUCACAUCCCAGAUAUCACCUGAAGUCUACACCAUCCAGAUGAUAGACGUCACAUGAUGGUGGAGCAGCAGACUCAUUCUAUCCCUGCAUCCAGCAGAUGUCUGGGUGGAUGUCGAACAUCCUGCAGCUAAAUGCAGACAGAAGAAGGACAUUUUCUGCCUGGAGAAACAUAGAAGAUCUGGAAAUAGUCGCUUUCAGUCUCUAUAACAUGCAAAUAGGGAUAGAAAUCCAGGGGUCAUCAUGGAAAUCAAUUGUAACAAUAGACUCCAGAACUUAACAGGCACUAUAAAUCUAUAGAAUUAUCAGAAUUUUACCAUCUUCAAACAGAACCAAAAGCUCUGUCCAAACCAAACCAGGAGAAACUUAAGAGUUUAUUUCCCGCAGCUGUUUCUCCAGAAACUGAUGUUCAGGUUCUGACUAAAGCCAGGAAUGGGAACCACCAACUCUUGCUGGUCACACAUAAGACGGCCCACAAGCUCAGCACUGGACCUUCUCUUGGAGUCCAGAGUCAACCCUAAACACGGUGAUGUUUAGUGAAGACAAAACCUGGAAUCAUUUCCUGAACUUCUACUUUGUCAAUGUAGACAUCCAGAACCAGAACGGUUCUGCUGAAGGCCUUUUCUUUUUUUUUUACUCUGUUCUCUUUACUGUGGUUUCAUGAUUUUAAUUUAAACAUUUGAUUUAACUGUUUUUCUUGGGAUUAUUUUUACUUUUACAUUUGUGAAUUUACUGUA